This 343-nucleotide small RNA is filed under the name Stenotrophomonas daejeonensis. RNAcentral's name for it is "Proteobacterial sRNA sX6". It matches the Rfam family "Proteobacterial sRNA sX6". The record is from Rfam by way of RNAcentral. Lineage: Bacteria; Pseudomonadati; Pseudomonadota; Gammaproteobacteria; Lysobacterales; Lysobacteraceae.
ACCCGGAGGAUGAUGAUGAAAUCGUCGAAAUUGCUGGCCUGGGCAGUGGCCGCUGCCGCCGUCGUGGCGGUACCGCUGGUGAUGGCGCAGAGCGCCGCCAACAAGGGCAAGACGGCCGAAGCCGCACAGGAUGCGUCCGCCGACAAGGCGAAGGCCGAGGCCGAGCAGAAGGCCCGGCGCCGUGCCGCGGCCGCCGCGCAGCAGAAGGCCCGGGGCGAGCAGCCGGCCCCGCGCGAGGAAGAGGAAGAAGAGGAAGCCCGCAAGCGUCGCUGACGCGGGUUUCCCGAUGGUGGAUGGACGCCCCGGCGCUGGCCGGGGCGUCUUUUUUUUGAGGUCGCCGCAU